UAGAGAUUAACUAAUGUUAUGUUUUGUAGACAAAAACUGAAAAUGUUGGAUAUUUAAGUGUCGUAAUGAGUUAACGUUAUGUAUAAAAUGUUUUAAAAUUUAAUAAAAUUUUCUAUUAAAAAAAAGAAAAGAAAAGAAAAAAGAAAAAACAGUUGGCUCCGAGGAAUGCGUUACUCGGGAGUAAGC
This is a long non-coding RNA of Sphaerodactylus townsendi, 186 nucleotides long. RefSeq lists it as uncharacterized. The transcript is spliced from 3 exons. NCBI's taxonomy places the organism in Eukaryota, Metazoa, Chordata, Lepidosauria, Squamata, Sphaerodactylidae. The record is from RefSeq and is a predicted model, not a curated record.